This 253-nucleotide ribosomal RNA is filed under the name uncultured bacterium. Its description in RNAcentral is "partial 16S ribosomal RNA". It matches the Rfam family "Bacterial small subunit ribosomal RNA", at positions 524 to 776 of the family's 1533-position model. The record is from RNAcentral.
UACGUAGGGUGCGAGCGUUAAUCGGAAUUACUGGGCGUAAAGCGUGCGCAGGCGGUUUUGUAAGACAGAGGUGAAAUCCCCGGGCUUAACCUGGGAACUGCCUUUGUGACUGCAAGGCUUGAGUGCGGCAGAGGGGGAUGGAAUUCCGCGUGUAGCAGUGAAAUGCGUAGAUAUGCGGAGGAACACCGAUGGCGAAGGCAAUCCCCUGGGAUAACACUGACGCUCAUGCACGAAAGCGUGGGGAGCAAACAGG